This 272-nucleotide unclassified non-coding RNA is filed under the name Amphinema sp. (in: basidiomycete fungi). Its description in RNAcentral is "partial contains 5.8S ribosomal RNA, internal transcribed spacer 2, and large subunit ribosomal RNA". The stretch from base 1 to 52 matches the Rfam family "5.8S ribosomal RNA", at positions 103 to 154 of the family's 154-position model. The record is from RNAcentral. Lineage: Eukaryota; Fungi; Basidiomycota; Agaricomycetes; Atheliales; Atheliaceae. RNAcentral also lists the same sequence under 2 other names.
AACGCACCUUGCGCUCCUUGGUAUUCCGAGGAGCAUGCCUGUUUGAGUGUCAUUAAAUUCUCAACCCCACCGAUUUGCUUCGGGGGGAUUGGACUUGGAGCGUGCUGGCGAAGGUCGGCUCCUCUUUAAAUGCAUCAGUGGAGAGAAACUUGCCCCAGUGUGAUAAUCCUGUUGCGCUGUGGUGGGUGAAAGUCUGCUUCCAACCGUCCCUCCGGGGACAUAUGUCAUCUUAUUUUGACCUCAAAUCAGGUAGGACUACCCGCUGAACUUAA